This 476-nucleotide ribosomal RNA is filed under the name uncultured bacterium. RNAcentral describes it as "bacterial SSU rRNA". It matches the Rfam family "Bacterial small subunit ribosomal RNA", at positions 52 to 518 of the family's 1533-position model. The record is from RNAcentral.
CACAUGCAAGUCGAGGGCGAGCGAGGAGUUAGCUUGCUAACGUUGUCGGCGACCGGCGCACGGGUGAGUAACGCGUAUCCAACUUCCCCAUAGUAGAGGAUAGCCCGGCGAAAGUCGGAUUAAUACUCUAUGUUGUAUUUCGAGGACAUCUGAAGAAUACCAAAGGUUUACCGCUAUGGGAUGGGGAUGCGUCUGAUUAGGUAGUAGGCGGGGUAACGGCCCACCUAGCCAUCGAUCAGUAGGGGUUCUGAGAGGAAGGUCCCCCACAUUGGAACUGAGACGCGGUCCAAACUCCUACGGGAGGCAGCAGUGAGGAAUAUUGGUCAAUGGGCGGGAGCCUGAACCAGCCAAGUAGCGUGCAGGAUGACGGCCCUAUGGGUUGUAAACUGCUUUUAUGCGGGGAUAAAGUGCGCCACGUGUGGCGUUUUGUAGGUACCGCAUGAAUAAGGACCGGCUAAUUCCGUGCCAGCCGCCGC